UUCUCCAUGGUUCAGAGGAAUUAGAUGGACUACCACUGUUGUUCUCAAAUUCUGAAUUGGAAAAGGUGACUUGCCUGGUUUCCUUGGGAGAUUUGAAAAAAAUAAGUAACUCUUUGGCUUAACUAAGACAUCCUAGUUCAGACAUCCAAGUCUGAUGAUGCAGAUAAGAGACAGUUUUACCAGAGCCCAAUGUGCCCUGAAGUCAUGGAAGAGAGUCCAGUUGGAAGAAGCUGCAGUUUUGGAAGGAUGCACUAUUUUCCAUAAUGUCAGAAGUGAUGUAGGAAAGAGGAGGCAAAAUCAUCUCUACUUCUCUUUUCUUCUGUCGUCCAAGGGCUGGAUUCAUCCGGGUCUGUGUGCUGCAUUCCUACGUUGAGAAAAAUGACAGUAAUGAUAUGAGAGAGAAGGAAGAACUGAGGAUCAGGUGACACUUCCAGAGAGUGAAUGAUUGAUGGCCCCAGAGAAAGCACUGAUGGUACAGCUACCAUGGCCAAAGGGGACAGUCGAGAUUAAUGAAAUGCAUCCAUACCUGAUGCUAUGCCCGCACUCUUGUUCCCUCUCUCUCUCUUUCUCUCUCACUUUCAACUUUUCUGCUGCUCACCUAAGGAAACUCUGGUUGACAAACAUAGUUAUAAGUGAUUGAUGACAUUUUUGAGCACUCGGACAAAAUAUUAAAAUGAAAGAAAAUGCCAGAGUAAUUCAUUUAUUGAAAAUCAGUAUUCUAGUAAAAAAUAGUUCAACAGAAAUUUUUUUUUUACUGUGAAGAAACAGGUAGUAGUACUUUAAAUUCUAGAUCUAUAUAGAUUACAAUAACCUCCUUCAAAACAAUAAUGUAAAGUUUUCAUGAUUCAAUUUUCAUUGA
Molecule: long non-coding RNA, 859 nt
Organism: Ictidomys tridecemlineatus (thirteen-lined ground squirrel)
Lineage: Eukaryota; Metazoa; Chordata; Mammalia; Rodentia; Sciuridae
Source: RefSeq, a predicted model, not a curated record